This is a non-coding RNA of Myotis davidii, 74 nucleotides long. Lineage: Eukaryota; Metazoa; Chordata; Mammalia; Chiroptera; Vespertilionidae. The record is from Rfam.
GCCAGUGUGGCUCAGUGGAUAGAGCAUCGGCCUGAAGACUGAAGGGUCCUGGGUUCGAGUCCCGGUCAAGGGCA